This is a non-coding RNA of Arachis ipaensis, 1430 nucleotides long. The record is from RefSeq and is a predicted model, not a curated record. Lineage: Eukaryota; Viridiplantae; Streptophyta; Magnoliopsida; Fabales; Fabaceae.
UAGAAAUAUUAAUUCCAUAUGACUUCUAAGGUAAUAAUGUUAAAAUCUUAAAUGCCUUCAACUAGGUGAAUAUAUUUGUGAUUAGAUUUUAUAUUAAUGUUGUAUCAAAUGUUAAAUUUUUAGUUUUAGGUGAUUUUCCAUAUUCCACUUGUUGAGUAAAACACUGACCCAAUUUUGAACACUGUUUUGUGUGAAUUUAUUGUGUUUGAUUUGAUUCCUUUUCCUGUGUUCUAGAACUUGACUUUAUUACUUUGUUUUUCUUGAUUGCUUAUUGUUGUUGUUUGGAAGGAGGUGUUUAAAAGGGCUAUAAUGCAGCCUGGGCCACCUGAGCAUUUUUCUUUACUGACAGUUCUAGAAUUCAUCAAACCUCAGUGAGGGAGAAAGAUUCAAUAUACACAGUGAAAGUCUGAACUCCUUUUCUAAUCAUGGGUGGCAGGAUUAUUGUACUACUUUAACCAUUUUCACACAUAUCAACAUCACAGCAGAGGACAGUUCCCCACACCGUCGAAGAGGAUGACCAAAGGCACUGCAUAGGCUACAUCGGGAGAACACUGCCUCGAUAACCUGAAUGACUUGCUGAGGUUUCUGCGGCGCAAUGACCCGCAAACUCGUGACGUGUUCAAGCAGGUGCGCAAAUGGAACAAGGUUUCCAAGGAUUUGAUUCCGAUCAUUGAGCACUACCAGGAGGAUCGAAAUUUGCUUUUGAAUGCAGUGAAGGUUUUGGUGUUCUUUACAAUGCCAAUUGAACCAGGUUCCACGGAUAUUCGGCAGCAGCUUAAGUAUCUGUGGAGAUUGAAGUCUGUAGUGAUGAGUAGUGAUGUAUGUGAAGACCACUCGAGAAUUUGGAAUGGUAAGCUUUAUAUUGUAACUGCUGUUGAAAAUCAUUAGAAGGGAAGGAAUUGGGAACCUCUAGUUUAUGUGCAAUUUCUUAUUUAGUUGUUCUGUUUUACAGUGAUGCAUUCACUGAUGGAAAUUGGUUUAUUUCUUAUUUAUUGGGAACAUCUAAUUUGUUCUUAUUUAAUGGCAUAUAUAAACCAUGGGAACCUAUUUACCAAGUAUUUGUUGGUUUUCUAUUGUGGGAGUUGGAGCAUUUUGAAUUGAAUAUGUAUUUCUUUAAUUGUUAAGGCAAAGAUAAUAGUAAUAUGAUUUAACUAUGACACGGGCUGGACUAUUCUAUACUAAUGUUUCCUAAUCACUAAAUCUUAUUGACUACUUGUGUGCCCCCUUUAUAUGUUUGUGGAUUUAUAUUAGGUGGGUUAAGAAUGGUGAAUUUAUUGGGUUAACUGAAAUUGAUGCUCAAUUACCUUAUGUCUUAUAUUAAAUAGACAUUGUCUACUGCCAUUGCAUGAUCUUUCAAGAAUUAGUAUCAAAUUAAACUUUUUAACGGGAUGUCCUUCUUUGGUCUUAUAUAUCAUUCAUUCUUUCCAUUU